RNAcentral lists this transfer RNA (74 nucleotides) under Phycisphaerae bacterium. RNAcentral describes it as "tRNA-Val". It matches the Rfam family "tRNA". Rfam says of the family: Transfer RNA (tRNA) molecules are approximately 80 nucleotides in length. The record is from RNAcentral. Lineage: Bacteria; Pseudomonadati; Planctomycetota; Phycisphaerae. RNAcentral also lists the same sequence under 1 other name.
GGGCGAUUGGCGCAGUUGGCUAGCGCGCGACAAUGACACUGUCGAGGUCACUGGUUCGAGCCCAGUAUCGCCCA